Molecule: ribosomal RNA, 457 nt
Filed under: uncultured bacterium
Lineage: Bacteria
Description: partial 16S ribosomal RNA
Rfam family: Bacterial small subunit ribosomal RNA
Source: RNAcentral
CCUACGGGAGGCAGCAGUGGGGAAUAUUGCACAAUGGGGGAAACCCUGAUGCAGCGACGCCGCGUGAGUGAAGAAGUAUUUCGGUAUGUAAAGCUCUAUCAGCAGGGAAGAAACCCACCCUCCGGGGUGGCUGACGGUACCUGACUAAGAAGCCCCGGCUAACUACGUGCCAGCAGCCGCGGUAAUACGUAGGGGGCAAGCGUUAUCCGGAUUUACUGGGUGUAAAGGGAGCGUAGGUGGCAAGGCAAGUCAGAUGUGAAAACCCGGGGCCCAACCCCGGGAGUGCAUUUGAAACUGCAUGGCUGGAGUGCGGGAGGGGCAGGCGGAAUUCCUGGUGUAGCGGUGAAAUGCGUAGAUAUCAGGAGGAACACCGGCGGCGAAGGCGGCCUGCUGGACCGCGACUGACGUUGAGGCUCGAAAGCGUGGGGAGCGAACAGGAUUAGAUACCCCAGUAGUC